CCUACGGGAGGCAGCAGUGGGGAAUAUUGGGCAAUGGAGGCAACUCUGACCCAGCAACGCCGCGUGAAUGAUGAAGGUCUUCGGAUUGUAAAGUUCUUUUCUAAGGGAAGAAGAAAGUGACGUUACCUUAGGAAUAAGCCUCGGCUAAAUACGUGCCAGCAGCCGAGGAAAUACGUAGGAGGCAAGCGUUAUCCGGAUUGACUGGGCGUAAAGGGUGCGUAGGUGGUUUGACAAGUUAGUAGCGCAACUCCGGGGCUCAACUUCGGAACUACUACUAAAACUGUUGGGCGUGAGUGCAGGAGGGGCAAUCGGAAUUCCUAGUGUAGCGGUGGAAUGCGUAGAUAUUAGGAGGAACACCAGUGGCGAAGGCGGAUUGCUAGACGGUAACUGACGCUGAGGCACGAAAGCGUGGGGAGCAAACAGGAUUAGAUACCCGAGUAGUC
RNAcentral lists this ribosomal RNA (443 nucleotides) under uncultured bacterium. Its description in RNAcentral is "partial 16S ribosomal RNA". It matches the Rfam family "Bacterial small subunit ribosomal RNA", at positions 338 to 795 of the family's 1533-position model. The record is from RNAcentral.